UCACCCCUCAAGCCCCGUGCUUGGUGUUGGACGGCCUGGUCGAGGUGCCCUCGACCCCUCCUAAAGACAAUGACGGCGGCCUGUGGUUCCCCCGGUACACUGAGCUUUUAACUGAGCACGUAUCGGAAAAGGGCGCCCGGGACCCGGUCCUCUCCUUUCACAAGGAAACUUUUUCAA
RNAcentral lists this unclassified non-coding RNA (177 nucleotides) under uncultured Cladophialophora. RNAcentral's name for it is "sequence contains ITS2". Lineage: Eukaryota; Fungi; Ascomycota; Eurotiomycetes; Chaetothyriales; Herpotrichiellaceae. The record is from RNAcentral.